Molecule: non-coding RNA, 322 nt
Organism: Pelobates cultripes (western spadefoot toad)
Lineage: Eukaryota; Metazoa; Chordata; Amphibia; Anura; Pelobatidae
Source: the annotation of a GenBank genome assembly
CAGUGACAGGGCUGUUUAGCCAAAGGGGAGACAGUCGGUCUCCCCCUCAAGCAGAAGAGCUGUGUAUCUAAAGAGGAGACAGUCAGUCUCCCCCUUCAGCAACCAGGCUCCAACCAGGCUACUUCCACGGUAGUGCUGGCACCAGGGCAGAGUGCCGCUGGUCUCUGCCCACUCAGCAACCCACCAAUCCCCCGCACAGCUGUGGUGAGGCACCUGGACAUGGACAAGUAUCUUCUCUACCCGAGUGUAGUAACCAUUUAUUGUGGGUGGGCUGUACUGCUGAUUGUGUUUUGUGGGUGGGCUGCUGGACUAACAAGGGCAC